This 438-nucleotide ribosomal RNA is filed under the name uncultured bacterium. RNAcentral describes it as "bacterial SSU rRNA". It matches the Rfam family "Bacterial small subunit ribosomal RNA", at positions 29 to 514 of the family's 1533-position model. The record is from RNAcentral.
AACGAACGCUGGCGGCAGGCUUAACACAUGCAAGUCGAACGCCCCGCAAGGGGAGUGGCAGACGGGUGAGUAACACGUGGGAACGUGCCCUUCGCUUCGGGAUAGCCUCGGGAAACUGGGAGUAAUACCGAAUACGCCGUAUUGGGAAAGAUUUAUCGGCGAAGGAUCGGCCCGCGUUGGAUUAGCUAGUUGGCGGUGUAAUGGACCACCAAGGCUACGAUCCAUAGCUGGUCUGAGAGGACGACCAGCCACACUGGGACUGAGACACGGCCCAGACUCCUACGGGAGGCAGCAGUGGGGAAUCUUGGACAAUGGGCGCAAGCCUGAUCCAGCCAUGCCGCGUGAGUGAAGAAGGCCUUAGGGUUGUAAAACUCUUUCGCCGGUGAAGAUAAUGACGGUAACCGGAGAAGAAGCCCCGGCUAAACUUCGUGCCAGCAG